GAUGAAGAACGUAGCGAAAUGCGAUAAGUAGUGUGAAUUGCAGAAUUCAGUGAAUCAUCGAAUCUUUGAACGCACAUUGCGCCCCCUGGCAUUCCGGGGGGCAUGCCUGUUCGAGCGUCAUUUACACCCUCAAGCUCUGCUUGGUGUUGGGCGUCUGUCCCGCUGCUUUGCGCGGACUCGCCUCAAAGGUAUUGGCAGCGAUCAUGCCAGCUUCUCGCGCAGCACAUUGCGCUUCUUGAAGUUCUGGUGGAUCAGCGUCCAUUAAGCUUACCUUCAUGACUUGACCUCGGAUCAGGUAGGGAUACCCGCUGAACUUAAGCAUAUCAAUAAGCGGAGGA
RNAcentral lists this unclassified non-coding RNA (338 nucleotides) under soil metagenome. RNAcentral's name for it is "partial contains 5.8S ribosomal RNA, internal transcribed spacer 2, and large subunit ribosomal RNA". The stretch from base 1 to 120 matches the Rfam family "5.8S ribosomal RNA", at positions 35 to 154 of the family's 154-position model. The record is from RNAcentral.